GAGAUUAUGUCGAAAUUUUGAUAAGACUUUGAGAUUUAUUUUUGUUUAUGUAAAUUAGAUUAAUUGGUUAAUAAAUUGAUAGAGGCUACUGUUUCUUUAUAGGUGAUCAGUGUUGGCUAGCCUUUAUUUUCUCCAGCCAGACCAGCGGCAAUCGGAUUGACCAAUAUGCGAGUUAUAUAUUGAUUAUUUUUGUAAUUUCAAUAUUAAUUAUAUAUAUCAAGCAUGCUCAUAUAUUUUAUAAAUA
RNAcentral lists this unclassified non-coding RNA (244 nucleotides) under Hevea brasiliensis (rubber tree). The record is from RNAcentral. Lineage: Eukaryota; Viridiplantae; Streptophyta; Magnoliopsida; Malpighiales; Euphorbiaceae.